RNAcentral lists this long non-coding RNA (2679 nucleotides) under Delphinapterus leucas (beluga whale). RNAcentral's name for it is "lncRNA (ENSDLEG00000003414.1)". Lineage: Eukaryota; Metazoa; Chordata; Mammalia; Artiodactyla; Monodontidae. The record is from RNAcentral.
CGGGGAGGGGCCGGUCAGGCUGGGGCACAGGGCUGACCAACAGCAGAGUCAGCCUCCAUCUCUGCUGCUGGCCCAGCAGAGGGUCCCUGACCUGCGGAGGAGCCCCCCUCUCCUAACCGGCCCCAGCCCCACCCAGGGGGCCUCGUAACCUGCCGGCUCCUCCACUCGUGCCUCUGUCCAUCUGCACCAGACCCAGCCGUCCCUGCAGGCCCCGGCAGUAGGGCCACCACACUGCUUGGAGGAAGUCAGCUUUCCAGCGCCCGGCCUGCCCGGCGCCGUGACUCCCCAGGAAGGUGUGUGGGGCAUGGGCGGCUGGAGCCUGCGAGAGGCCGCCUCUGUGGACGGAGAGGGGACAUGUCCCUGUCCACCCUCCCUGUCCCCACCAAGGAAGGGUCGCGAUUGGUGAUUGGCCGCACUCAGGGCCUUCAGAUAGGAGUCCUUGGACACCACACUCAGGAACCAGGACUUUCUGGAGCUUAGGAAUCGAAACGAUGUGGCGAGAGGCGGUGGGGGAGGAGAGGCCCUGAGCCAGUGGGCUGGCCAUCCUUGUGGCCUGAGCUGCCCACUCGGCACUGUGUCCACAUGCCCCGUGCUCCCCUCCUUGCCCCUGCUGUGGCCCUUCCGUGGCCUUCAAGGGGGCACCCGGGGCGUCAGGCUGGGGGAGCGCAGCCCAGACAGAGGCGCCCGCACCCUGGACAGAGCCUGGAGUCUCGGCUCCUGGGUCAAGUGUGAGGACGAGGUUGUAAUGGACGCCCUGGCCUCCCCCGGCGUGAGCUGCUGAAGCAGUGGGUCGGGGGCACGAGCCCACCGCCUUUUCACCGAGGGCUGAAGUUCUCCAGGCUCAGGCACGGGUGGUGAGGGUCCCUCCUGAGGGUCUCUUGGGCCUGCCCCUGUGCCGCCCUGCCGCGCCCCUAGAGCUGGUGAUGCGUACCGGGGGCGGGGCCCCGGCUUUGUGACACGUCUUGGGUGUCCAUUUAGUGUUGCCAGGAGACCCGGCUCCCCUCACGUGGGCUUGGGCUGAGCGAGAGGCACUUUGCGUUCCCACUCAUCCAGGACCUGCGAAUCGUGAGAGGAGUGAGGAGAGUGUGUUCUGGCUGCGCGUCCGGCUGCGGGGAAGGCGGGUGCUUCGCCCCUCUGUCUGCUCUGCCCCUCCGUCUGCAGGGAGUCCAGGACCACGUGGGACGCGGGUCCUCUUGUUCAGAACAACCCAGCUGAUCCCGACGUCCCAGCGCGGGGCCUGGAGAGGAAGGACUUUGGCCACGGUUGCCAGGUCUGCAUGCAGGAGGCCCUGGGUCAGGGUCGGGGGUCCCGGGUGCCACCUCGCACCACCACAUGGCAGGCCUGCUGACGGGCUGGCGGGUGUCCGCGCGGCCAGCGCCGUGGGCCCCGGCUUUCACUGAAGACCCACCCACUCGGCCCUGCAUUCUGAACUUGAGGUGCCCGGGGUGUCAGGGUGACUCUCAGAUCUGAUGGAGUAAAUCUUUUCAGAAGAUCUCUGGGAGAAGGUGAGUGGGUGCGCUUGAGUCUCCACGCCUCCCGGGGGCUUGCCCUGUGUCACCUUCAGUGACAGGCUGGCUGGUCCAUCUCAGGACAGAAGACUCAGCACUUGAACUUUAUAAGUGCCAGUUACAUCGUGUCAUAGGUAAUCUCAUUGUUUCUUCUUCCGGGAGACCUGUAGGACUCUGUGUCCUCGAAGUUCUCACUUUCACCACCAUAGAUAUAUUCUUUUUUCCACUGUCUGGUUCUUGGAGUAUAAUUUAGGACUAAAGUCUUAAAUCUCCUUGCACUACGGACAUUGCUUCACUUUUUUUCUUUGUUUCUUCUCUUACGCUCUCUUCCUUUUCCUCUUCUGGAAACCCUGACAGACAGACAUUGUGUCUGUGUCACUUAAAUUUGCUCUCACAAUUAUCCCUUCCACACGUUUCUGUUUCAAGAUCUGCAGUAAUCCCUUGAUGUGACCUUCCACGUGACUGGAGUUUGAUUUUUGGCAACAUCUUUUCUGUUAGUUGACCCUUCCAUCUGAAUGCUUUCAUCUGGGAAUCAUGUUUCAAUACCAAGCCUGCCUUUCUGGGUUCUGAACCCCUGGUGCCUUUGUCGUGUUGUACAAAUGUGCUAUUAGAUGCUCGUGAAACCCACGCAAACUCAGGGCUGCUGCGUCCCGAUGUCCACAUGGCGUCACAUCCAGAAGACCAGAGCAGAUGACCAAAAGCUGUGGCCAGCAGCUGAAACCUGCUCUUAGGACAAUCCCCAAGGGGAAGUCACAGCUCACAGAAAAAACAGUCUUAGAAUAUUUUUCAACAUUUCUGUCUCUUCCUAAAGUAACACAGUAAUAUCAGCUAUAUUUUCUGUGCACUUCUUUCUGAAGACAAUGAAGGCUGUGCACAGGGCCUUCUGACCUCAAAGUUCCACCUGUAAUAGCUGUUAACAUCCUUCCCCCCUCCAACACCCCCAAACACCCGACAGCCACCCUGGCCACGUCCUUCCCUUUCCCAGUGGCCCUGCCCACCUGACUGGCCGGAAGGGCCACGGUUCCCUCCCACCCCUGGAGGGCCUGUCCCUGUGGAAGGAAAAACACAGGACUCUGGAAAUGUGGCCUCUCCUGCCACAGGGGAAACCUGCAAGAUUUCUGGUGGAUGAAAGUGUCACAUGAUCACACCAGCUAAAGCUGGCUUUUCCUGC